UAUGUGAUCGUCUCUCGCAUAUCAAUAAGCGGAGGAAAAGAAACUAACAAGGAUUCCCCUAGUAACGGCGAGUGAAGCGGGAAGAGCUCAAAUUUGAAAUCUUAAAGGGUUUCCCUUUACGAAUUGUAGUUUAAAGAAGUGUUUUCUGUUGAGGUUUUGGUAAAAGUUCUUUGGAAUAGGACAUCAUAGAGGGUGAGAAUCCCGUAUUUGACCUUUACUUUCAACUUUGUGAUACACUUUCAAAGAGUCGGAUUGUUUGGGAAUGCAGUCCAAAAUGGGUGGUAAAUUUCAUCUAAAGCUAAAUAUUGGCGAGAGACCGAUAGCGAACAAGUACCGUGAGGGAAAGAUGAAAAGAACUUUGAAAAGAGAGUUAAACAGUACGUGAGAUUGUCAAAAGGGAAGCGUUUGACACCAGUGUUGUUUUUCUGAAAAUCAAUUAAAGAACUGUUUAUGCUAAGCUGUUUAGACUUUAUCAGCUAACUGUUUAGUUUUGAGCUUUUCUUUAAUGCACUUUUCAGUUAACAAGUCAACAUCAAUUUCUUUUGCUGUAAAAAAGCUUGAGGAAGGUGGCUUGAGAUUCGUCUUAAGUGUUUAUAGCCUCUUGCCUAUGCAGUCGGAGAGAUUGAGGUCUGCAGCGUAGAUCCUUCGGGGCUAAAUGCAUUUGUGCUAAGUUAUAGCAUUUUAUAGACAACUUGUUGACUAUGAUUUGUCUUGUAGCUUACUCGCUUAUGUUAUUUUACCUACGCUUAGGAUGUUGAGUAGCGACAUACGCAC
Molecule: ribosomal RNA, 774 nt
Filed under: uncultured Neocallimastigales
Lineage: Eukaryota; Fungi; Neocallimastigomycota; Neocallimastigomycetes; Neocallimastigales
Description: partial large subunit ribosomal RNA
Rfam family: Eukaryotic large subunit ribosomal RNA
Source: RNAcentral